Aplysia californica (California sea hare) is the source of this 1439-nucleotide long non-coding RNA. RefSeq lists it as uncharacterized. The transcript has 4 exons. The record is from RefSeq and is a predicted model, not a curated record. NCBI's taxonomy places the organism in Eukaryota, Metazoa, Mollusca, Gastropoda, Aplysiida, Aplysiidae.
AACGGCGUCCUGUCCUCAGUUCCCUACCUGGCCACGAUCUGCACACAGAUUUUUGCUGGACACGCCGCAGACUUCCUACGUCAGAGAUACCUGAGCACAACACACACUCGCAGGCUCUUCCAGACUGUGUCGUUCCUGGGUUCGGCCGCCUGUAUCGUUGCCGUGGGCUUCACAGACUGUGAGAGACGUGCUAUAGCCGUGGUCCUUCUUUGUGUUGCAAUAGCCUUAGAAGGGCUGUGCUAUGCUGGAUUCAUGGUAAAUCACAUGGACUUUGCACCUCGAUACGCCGGAGUUCUAUACGCAAUCACGAACUUUUUUGGCGCAAUAGCCAGCCUUCUGGCGCCAACUGUCAUCGGAGUGCUUACAACAAACAAAACUCAGCUGGAAUGGCGCAAUGUGUUCUACGUGUGUGGGGUCUUCAUGGUCAUCGGCACCAUUGUCUUUGGUGGGUUUGCGGCCGGGGAGGUGGAGACUUGGGCCGUCGAGGCUCACGAGGAUGACCCUAAGUCGGAGACACCGGACAUCUCGGACGGAAAACUAAGCAAAAACAUCUACUAGAUUGUUUACAACUUUUUAAAAACAGAACAACCUCGUGAAGGUGAAAGAUUGUAAAGAAUAAGGGAAUGGUAUGUAAAAGCCUAAUAUUUGGUAUCAAACCAUAAGUAAAAGAGCAACUUGAUGUAUACAAAUCCCAAUUAAAAGUAAAACGGGGAAAAUAUUGUCUAAAAUCUAAUUUUUCCUUUUGAGAUAUGAAUGAUAAGUAAAAAUACAAAUUAUUGCCUAAUACUAAUACAAUCUCUUGACAUGUAAUUUGUCGUUCGAAUUGAGGAGUGUAAAAAACAUACAUGUUAAAUGUAACGAUAAGUAAAAUACAAUUAACUUUAAGUUGAACAAUUAACUGUUCCAUUUUUAACGUGCUAUCGUGCUUGCAUUGUGGCAAAGGGUUUUGUCUGUGAAUUCAGUCCAAUUUGUGACUGCGCGAGCUUGAUACUUGAUGCUAUAUUUUACAGACUAACCUUUGACGUAAAUCGCUUAAUUGAAACUAUUGAAUUCUAGAUGAAAAAAAAAACAACUAAAGUUAUGGAAAAAGCGAAACUGAAUCGCCCCGGAUCAACGCCAUUAACCGAUAAUAAUAUUCGGCUCAAAGGGAAAAUGUUUAACGACUUUGACCGGUGUGACAGAAACUCCUUAAGUCGAAGACAGGAGUUGGUGAAUGAGAGCACUUGGUUGCAGCUCGUGACCUGCGAAGAGACUUGACUUUCUAAUGAAGUAAAAUAAAAUUAUUCUGUCACUUUUGAAAAUUUCGCCUCCAUUAAUUAUUUUGUUUCAUUACCGUAUGAUGAAUUUGAAUAUGAUCGGGUUUGAUAUUUUGUUGAGUUUCGUUUCCUAUGUAGUUUUGUUAUUACUGUCCCAAAGCGUUUUUAAAGUUUUUAUUCUGU